GACGAACGCUGGCGGCAGGCUUAACACAUGCAAGUCGAACGGGUGUAGCAAUACAUCAGUGGCAGACGGGUGAGUAACACGUGGGAACCUUCCUCGUUGUACGGGACAACUCAGGGAAACUUGAGCUAAUACCGUAUACGUCCGAGAGGAGAAAGAUUUAUCGCAAUGAGACGGGCCCGCGUCGGAUUAGCUAGUUGGUGGGGUAACGGCCUACCAAGGCGACGAUCCGUAGCUGAUCUGAGAGGAUGAUCAGCCACACUGGGACUGAGACACGGCCCAGACUCCUACGGGAGGCAGCAGUGGGGAAUAUUGGACAAUGGGCGAAAGCCUGAUCCAGCAAUGCCGCGUGAGUGAUGAAGGCCUUAGGGUUGUAAAGCUCUUUUACCCGAGAUGAUAAUGACAGUAUCGGGAGAAUAAGCUCCGGCUAACUCCGUGCCAGCAGCCGCGGUAAU
RNAcentral lists this ribosomal RNA (452 nucleotides) under uncultured bacterium. RNAcentral describes it as "bacterial SSU rRNA". It matches the Rfam family "Bacterial small subunit ribosomal RNA", at positions 28 to 524 of the family's 1533-position model. The record is from RNAcentral.